ACUUAAAUUGAAGAGUUUGAUCAUGGCUCAGAUUGAACGCUGGCGGCAGGCCUAACACAUGCAAGUCGAGCGGUAGCACAGAGAGCUUGCUCUCGGGUGACGAGCGGCGGACGGGUGAGUAAUGUCUGGGAAACUGCCUGAUGGAGGGGGAUAACUACUGGAAACGGUAGCUAAUACCGCAUAACGUCGCAAGACCAAAGUGGGGGACCUUCGGGCCUCAUGCCAUCAGAUGUGCCCAGAUGGGAUUAGCUAGUAGGUGGGGUAAUGGCUCACCUAGGCGACGAUCCCUAGCUGGUCUGAGAGGAUGACCAGCCACACUGGAACUGAGACACGGUCCAGACUCCUACGGGAGGCAGCAGUGGGGAAUAUUGCACAAUGGGCGCAAGCCUGAUGCAGCCAUGCCGCGUGUAUGAAGAAGGCCUUCGGGUUGUAAAGUACUUUCAGCGAGGAGGAAGGCGUUAAGGUUAAUAACCUUGGCGAUUGACGUUACUCGCAGAAGAAGCACCGGCUAACUCCGUGCCAGCAGCCGCGGUAAUACGGAGGGUGCAAGCGUUAAUCGGAAUUACUGGGCGUAAAGCGCACGCAGGCGGUCUGUCAAGUCGGAUGUGAAAUCCCCGGGCUCAACCUGGGAACUGCAUUCGAAACUGGCAGGCUAGAGUCUUGUAGAGGGGGGUAGAAUUCCAGGUGUAGCGGUGAAAUGCGUAGAGAUCUGGAGGAAUACCGGUGGCGAAGGCGGCCCCCUGGACAAAGACUGACGCUCAGGUGCGAAAGCGUGGGGAGCAAACAGGAUUAGAUACCCUGGUAGUCCACGCCGUAAACGAUGUCGACUUGGAGGUUGUGCCCUUGAGGCGUGGCUUCCGGAGCUAACGCGUUAAGUCGACCGCCUGGGGAGUACGGCCGCAAGGUUAAAACUCAAAUGAAUUGACGGGGGCCCGCACAAGCGGUGGAGCAUGUGGUUUAAUUCGAUGCAACGCGAAGAACCUUACCUACUCUUGACAUCCAGAGAACUUAGCAGAGAUGCUUCGGUGCCUUCGGGAACUCUGAGACAGGUGCUGCAUGGCUGUCGUCAGCUCGUGUUGUGAAAUGUUGGGUUAAGUCCCGCAACGAGCGCAACCCUUAUCCUUUGUUGCCAGCGAUUCGGUCGGGAACUCAAAGGAGACUGCCAGUGAUAAACUGGAGGAAGGUGGGGAUGACGUCAAGUCAUCAUGGCCCUUACGAGUAGGGCUACACACGUGCUACAAUGGCAUAUACAAAGAGAAGCGACCUCGCGAGAGCAAGCGGACCUCAUAAAGUAUGUCGUAGUCCGGAUUGGAGUCUGCAACUCGACUCCAUGAAGUCGGAAUCGCUAGUAAUCGUAGAUCAGAAUGCUACGGUGAAUACGUUCCCGGGCCUUGUACACACCGCCCGUCACACCAUGGGAGUGGGUUGCAAAAGAAGUAGGUAGCUUAACCUUCGGGAGGGCGCUUACCACUUUGUGAUUCAUGACUGGGGUGAAGUCGUAACAAGGUAACCGUAGGGGAACCUGCGGUUGGAUCACCUCCUUACCUUAAAGAA
RNAcentral lists this ribosomal RNA (1554 nucleotides) under Klebsiella aerogenes. RNAcentral's name for it is "16S ribosomal RNA". It matches the Rfam family "Bacterial small subunit ribosomal RNA". Lineage: Bacteria; Pseudomonadati; Pseudomonadota; Gammaproteobacteria; Enterobacterales; Enterobacteriaceae. The record is from RNAcentral.